GAAUCCGCUAAGGAGUGUGUAACAACUCACCUGCCGAAUGAACUAGCCCUGAAAAUGGAUGACGCUUAAGCGGAUUGCCGACACCAGACCGUUUUGGCAAGAAGCGACCAAAAUGAGUAGGAGGGCGUGGCGGUUUUGUUGAGAAGGAUGAGACGCAAGUCUAUCUGAAACGGCCGCUAGUGCAGAUCUUGGUGGUAGUAGCAAAUAUUCAAGCGAGAUCCUUGAAGGGCGAAGCGGGGAAGGGUUCCACGCGAACAUUGAUUGGGCGUGGGUGAGUCGUUCCUAAGCCGGGUGGUAAUCGUUCUUCGAUCGGCGAAAGGGAAGCGGGUUAAAAUUCUCGCACACGGAUGUGGAGGCGGUGACGCAAAUUGAGGUGGAGACGUUAGCGAUGGCACUGGGCAGAGUUGUCUUUUCUGUUUAACCUGCGAGUGCACUCUGUGGAAUCCGAUUAUCGGGAGAAACAGGUGCUUAUGGGAAGAGCGUCGGGGCGUCCCCGGCGUCCAGUACGCCAUCGAUAGCCCCUGAAAAUCCAUCUGCAAUGAAAUUUCACGCCGUGGCGUACCGAUAACCGCAUCAGGUCCCCAAGGUGAACAGCCUCUGCUCAAUAUGAACAAUGCAGGUAAGGGAAGUCGGCA
This 635-nucleotide ribosomal RNA is filed under the name Dawsoniolithon conicum. Its description in RNAcentral is "eukaryotic LSU rRNA". It matches the Rfam family "Eukaryotic large subunit ribosomal RNA", at positions 1264 to 1919 of the family's 3401-position model. Lineage: Eukaryota; Rhodophyta; Florideophyceae; Corallinales; Porolithaceae. The record is from RNAcentral.